This is a long non-coding RNA of Vanessa tameamea, 467 nucleotides long. RefSeq lists it as uncharacterized. The record is from RefSeq and is a predicted model, not a curated record. Lineage: Eukaryota; Metazoa; Arthropoda; Insecta; Lepidoptera; Nymphalidae. The transcript is spliced from 2 exons.
AAUAUGAUGCAAUCAUAAAGGCUAUUUAAAGUCGUACGUCCAACGAAUCGUCUUAAAUAGCUUCAAACCCUUGUAUAAUACGGUCGAUCAAAUUAACAUUCUGUCAAAAUGAAAUCUAUUAUGAUCUGGUGUAUUUUGACAUUUGUCGGAUUAACAUUGGCGGAGACCUCCUUGUAUCCACGAGGAUGUAUUUAUGUGAUGGGAAGAUGUCACAGAGAGUGUGAGGUCGGUACUCAUGCGUAUACCACCGGAUGUGGUUUUUUGACCCCCGAAGCAACUUGUGAUAAUCCAGCCCCUGUAGUAAAUGAAAACGGAAAAAUCUGUGAUUACUCAGCUUGCUAUUGCGACCCUCCCACCGUCAGAGACACCAUCAGCGGCAAAUGUGUGCAGAAGGAAGAUUGCCCUAAGUGAAAAUGUAGAUUGACUGACUUUUGUAUUAUUGAGCUUAAAUAAAACACUGACGACUA